ACGCGGAUUACGGUGGCGG
Molecule: small nuclear RNA, 19 nt
Filed under: Arabidopsis thaliana (thale cress)
Lineage: Eukaryota; Viridiplantae; Streptophyta; Magnoliopsida; Brassicales; Brassicaceae
Description: snRNA_13267
Source: RNAcentral